RNAcentral lists this ribosomal RNA (502 nucleotides) under uncultured bacterium. RNAcentral's name for it is "partial 16S ribosomal RNA". It matches the Rfam family "Bacterial small subunit ribosomal RNA", at positions 30 to 523 of the family's 1533-position model. The record is from RNAcentral.
AUUGAACGCUGGCGGCAUGCCUUACACAUGCAAGUCGAACGGCAGCACGGGAGCUUGCUCCUGGUGGCGAGUGGCGAACGGGUGAGUAAUGUAUCGGAACAUGCCCUGAAGUGGGGGAUAACGUAGCGAAAGUUACGCUAAUACCGCAUAUUCUGUGAGCAGGAAAGCAGGGGAUCGCAAGACCUUGCGCUUUGGGAGUGGCCGAUAUCGGAUUAGCUAGUUGGUGAGGUAAAGGCUCACCAAGGCGACGAUCCGUAGCGGGUCUGAGAGGAUGAUCCGCCACACUGGGACUGAGACACGGCCCAGACUCCUACGGGAGGCAGCAGUGGGGAAUUUUGGACAAUGGGCGCAAGCCUGAUUCAGCCAUGCCGCGUGAGUGAAGAAGGCCUUCGGGUUGUAAAGCUCUUUCGGUGGGGAAGAAAUUGCUUCGGCUAAUACCCGGAGUAGAUGACGGUACCCGCAUAAGAAGCACCGGCUAACUACGUGCCAGCAGCCGCCGUAA